GACGAACGCUGGCGGCGUGCUUAACACAUGCAAGUCGUACGGUAAGGCCCUUUCGGGGGUACACGAGUGGCGAACGGGUGAGUAACACGUGAGUAACCUGCCCACAACUUUGGGAUAACGCUAGGAAACUGGUGCUAAUACUGGAUAUGUGCUCCUGCUGCAUGGUGGGGGUUGGAAAACUCCGGCGGUUGUGGAUGGACUCGCGGCCUAUCAGCUUGUUGGUGGGGUAGUGGCCUACCAAGGCGGCGACGGGUAGCCGGCCUGAGAGGGUGACCGGCCACAUUGGGACUGAGAUACGGCCCAGACUCCUACGGGAGGCAGCAGGGGGGAAUAUUGCACAAUGGGCGCAAGCCUGAUGCAGCAACGCCGCGUGCGGGAUGACGGCCUUCGGGUUGUAAACCGCUUUCAGCAGGGACGAAGCUUUUUGUGACGGUACCUGCAGAAGAAGCACCGGCUAACUACGUG
This 465-nucleotide ribosomal RNA is filed under the name uncultured bacterium. RNAcentral's name for it is "partial 16S ribosomal RNA". It matches the Rfam family "Bacterial small subunit ribosomal RNA", at positions 28 to 507 of the family's 1533-position model. The record is from RNAcentral.